This 351-nucleotide unclassified non-coding RNA is filed under the name soil metagenome. RNAcentral describes it as "partial contains 5.8S ribosomal RNA, internal transcribed spacer 2, and large subunit ribosomal RNA". The stretch from base 1 to 120 matches the Rfam family "5.8S ribosomal RNA", at positions 35 to 154 of the family's 154-position model. The record is from RNAcentral.
GAUGAAGAACGUAGCGAAAUGCGAUAAGUAAUGUGAAUUGCAGAAUUCAGUGAAUCAUCGAAUCUUUGAACGCACAUUGCGCCCGCCAGUAUUCUGGCGGGCAUGCCUGUCUGAGCGUCAUUUCAACCCUCAGCCCCCGCUCGCGGGGCGCUGGCGUUGGGGAUCGGCCGUCCUCGCGGCGGCCGGCCCCGAAACACAGUGGCGGUCUCUCGCGGACUCCCCUGCGUAGUAGCACUACCUCGCAGAAGGGACGAGCGGGCCGACCACGCCGUAAAACCCCCCACUUCUCCAGGUUGACCUCAGAUCAGGUAGGAAUACCCGCUGAACUUAAGCAUAUCAAUAAGCGGAGGA